UGUGAUUUAUUGCUUUCGUACUAAAGAUUUCCAUGCUAAUUCUGACCUAUUUCUUAGCUUUAUGUGGUCUGAUUUGUUUUGUUCCGAUUGGGAGAUAUAAAGCCUUUUUCCACCAAGUAAGAAUAUCCUAUGGUACUAAUAAAGGGAAGAAUUUCACUGAAGAGGAGGAUCACUUCCUAAUCUGUAUGCUUCACAAACUAGGAUUUGAUAAAGAAAAUGUCUUUGAUGAAUUAAGACAAUGUAUCCGAAACUCGCUGCAAUUCAGAUUUGACUGGUUUCUCAAGUCCAGAACUGCAAUGGAGCUGCAAAGGAGGUGUAAUACUUUAAUCACUCUCAUUGAAAGA
Molecule: long non-coding RNA, 344 nt
Organism: Catharus ustulatus (Swainson's thrush)
Lineage: Eukaryota; Metazoa; Chordata; Aves; Passeriformes; Turdidae
Exons: 2
Source: RefSeq, a predicted model, not a curated record